AUGGAGCCCAGGAUACAAUUUGCUUUCCAAGCUGAAUUUAUUUUGAUGCUGCUGGUAUUUUUUUAUUCCAACUUCUUUUAGGACCAGGAUUUCAACACUCUUCUUCAAGAACUCUUGCUUGCUAUUUGGAAAAGGUCCAUGGAAUUGGCCUGGAGUUGUUCCAGAGUAUGGAUCCAGCUCCUGCAAAAAUGCUGCAUCUUGCAUUCUCAAGCUCCUGAAAGUGUCGGCGGUCACUGGCAUCCAGCUAUGCUGAAAGGACAGGCAAGCUGACAGGGCUGAUUCUCUCUACGUGUACUCUGCAAUUCUGAAAAUCUUGCCUCAGCGUGACCUCUGUAAUUUAUUAUGUAUAUUGCUUUCUUGCAACAGUGCAGUUUCUACUCUGUGUUAUGCCUUCUACUCCAUAAUGUCUGCAGUCCAACUGUGUGCUUUAAUGCUCACAGUGCUGCUGGCAUCCAUGCCUUCCUCCACGCUUCAUGCUCUCACAAAUGUUCAGCAAACUAUUAGGAAAGCUGUGGUUUGGAGUCAUUGUUUACAGGGCAUAGCUUCAGGUUUAAAGGAGGUGUUUUGGCUGAAUUUCAGAUCGCUUAGAAAUCAACCCUUCUGAGGUACAAAACUGGAAAGGCACGGAGUUGUGCACAUGCUUUUAGGGUGUAGCAGGCUCAUUGCUAAGGCUAACAAGGCAUACGUAGAAACAGCAACAAAAGAAACCAGCAACUGUAAUCUGGAAAGUGUAGAGGGCUGAUGAAUAAAAAUUUUGGAGUCAGAAAAUACUGAAAUGGAGCUAUUUCAGUAGAAGGGGUGGAAAGGCUGAGGGGAAUGGUUAAGAGUGACAGUGACGACGUGAGGAGGCAGUGCAGAGGAAAUCCAGAGGCAGUGAGUCUACCUGAAUGUGACAGGAAAUGCUGUUUCAGUGUUUUGUAAAUGGUUUGACAACACAUCAGGAUCCAGACAUUUCUUAUGGCCCAUUUCAAGGAUCACUAUAGAUUUAUUUGCUUCUAAGGAUUAUAGUAUCUUCCCCAGUUUUUAAGGAAAGGGGAAUGUCAGUCCAGGAAUUUAGCAUCUGUUUGAGUCAGAAUAUAUAAGAAAGAAUAGGAAACACAAAACACCAACUCUUUGGCUUCCCAAAUGUAGCUAGCCGUGAUGUAUGCCUGUCAAGUUCAUCUCUGGUUUACCUCUGGGCAACUCCAGAGCAGCUGCACAUCUAGAAGCAGACCUCUCACUGAUGGUGCAUUGCCUUCUCUAACAGAGGUGGUUUAUUAAUACAGCCUAAGGUUACUGAUGCCCUUUUGAAUAUCCUGGUUUUGCCUGACCUAGUAGAGUACUGCUCAUUUAACUGCAGCAUAAUAAUUUCAAAACCAUUCUCAAAGAGUUUGGCAAAGAUUUAUUUAAUAUUGUUUUUUCUGUGAAAGACAUUCAGAGUAAUACUGCAGCCUGACUAUAACGAAAAUUCAAUAUAAUUUGUGUCACCAUAGCAACACAUGAAAGAAUUUAAUGGACAGUAGUUAACUUGCAUUUGUAACACCUCAGAGAGAAAGAUAAACAUGUUUUUAAGAAGCUGUGAUAUAGAAAGAUUGUGGUCAAAGUGACACUUGUUAGUGGUGUAAUGAAAUAGAGUAGCCCAGGUAUGUGGUUCUCAUUACUCAUUCAUGCUGCCAACAUGAUCAUGGAGCCAGCAGGGGUAUGCCAAGUGGCCAGAUUACAUUUGGGAGAAGCAUGACCACUAGAGUAUUGCAAAAUUGAUACCCCUUUCUACUACUCCAAAUGUACUUGUUUACACCCUUAACAUUUCUUCUGCCCACACAUGAUGUGAUGGCCCCACAGCUUUUAUUUUUGCUUCUCUUAUAUUCAGUUCAUAUGAAAUUGUUUCCAGUCUCUCGGAUUGUAAGUACUGAGAUCCUUCCUUUCAGUCGUAAUGGCUGUUAUUCCAUGCUCAGUUCAUUCCUGCUUCAGAUACAUCACUUUCUUCUACCUAAACAUUGUUCUUGAGCCUAUCCAAAAUGUUCCUGCUGAGAUUACCCAUUACUUUGUGUUCCUCCCACAGCACCUGCUUUUCUUCUAGCCCCUCACUGUCCUCACAUCUGGUUCAGAGCUCUUGUCACUGAAGACAAGACCAGCUUCCUCAAGUACAUGGUUGAAGAUUAGGGACAUCAUGGCGCAGUGGUGUGGCAGUGAUGGGUGGAUGAGUGGACCAGAUGAUCUUAGUGUUUAUUUCCAACCUUAAUGAUUCUAUGAUUCUAUGACUCUAUGCAUCAGGCAAAAGUUUUUUUAUUUCCCUUUACUUUACUCUUUCUGCAAAUGGUGCCAGCUUUAACAUUUCUUUCAUUGCGCUCACAUUUCUCCAUUUGUACUUCUCCACGUAAAAACCAUAUCCAGCAUCCUUCCUCAUGAGUGCUAUUCUGAGCCCUGUGGCUUGUGCCACCUCCUCAUGCAGCUCCAGUUAACCAGUAGUCAAUGACCCUGCUAUUCAAUUCCCCCAAAGGAAGCUAAUUUUGUUGAGGAAUAAAGCAGCUGCCCAGAAGCUAACGUAAUUAUGACAUGAGAAAAGCAGGUGGAAAGGGAGAAAAGUCAGUCAGUGCUGUAUCACAGCAGAGGAGUGAUCAGAAAUAAUUUUACUGUUCAUUCAGGAGUAGGUAAUUUAGGUAGCAGCUCCCAUGACAUAUAAUCUAAGUAGAGGGCUGGAAAACAAGUAUGAUAGUUGUGAAUUCCAUUGUGUGUUAUAGCACCUUUGUCUCCUUGCCCUGACUUGAGACUUAACACACUGCAAAAGCAAUUUUGUCAUUAAUGCUAGAAGCAAAUGUCUGCAAAACCGGGAUUGCUACCUGCAAGACAAAUGCAUGUAACAAAUGCCUUUUGGAGUGUGAGAUAGAAAGGAAACAAGCUGCCCUACAUUUUGUUCACACUUUCCAGUGGACUUGUUAAACACUGACACCUCUGUAAAGUGAGAGGUAUGCUGUCCCCUGUAUCUGCAGCCCAUUGCCCAUCAGCAAGCAUUCCUAAUGCACCCCUGCUGCUGAUUUCUGAAGACUUUUUUUUACACGUUCUUUCUUGGCAGGGCAGUCUUAUAGUAACUCACUCAGAUGCUCCAAGGGGAACACAAGCUUUGCACAUGGUAAUAAGUGCACCGAUAUACUUCCAAAAAAUUUACGGAGGCUGUCUUUCAUACAAGAAAAACAAGUGGCCUGGCCCCAGCUAGUGACAUCCCUUCCCUGUAAUUUCAUGUUGAAAGCUAGAGCCUUACUGCCAAGUGCUCUUCUCAUCAUCAUUCCAGACUGGCAGUGUUCAUGAGACUUGGCAGGAGAUAGCAUUUGAUAAGAAUCCUUCUCUGGGAGCUUCAGAGAGGGCACUGUCAUUCAUUUCACUCCCCUGCCAGUUCACAAGUAUGAAGCCAGCAGGGUGAGUGCAGGAGGAACUGCAUUCCUUUCAGGCUCAUGUAACUCGGAAGCAGCUCCUAUCAUUUUCUUCAGGCACCUCUGAGCCAACAGCAAGCAUAACACACUUCAGCCCCAAAGGAACGUUUUUAAGAAAAGUUAUAAGCAGACGAAAAUACAGGGUAUGAAUUGAACAGCCACUUCAACCUGCUGCCAAGCUAUAAUUAGUACUUAAGCUCACAGUCUUGCACACAUAUACGUGCAGCAGAGCUUAAUAGAUUCCCUCAUUAAUGUUGAGACUCAUGUGCUCGUGCUUUAUGUCUGGGAAAGCUUUACACCCACAUGAAUUUUGAUGUGGAGUUGAAACAAAAAUGUUGAUGCUGGCAAUGCCAACUAUACAGAGUAAAUAGCUGGGUCCAGUCCUGCCAAUGCUGACUUGAAUGGGGCUUCUCACCCAAAGGAAAACCUACGUGUGAAAGUAUUCUCAGGUCCAAGCCUGUGCAGCAAAAGUAAAUCAUGGUUCUCUGCCUCAGAUGAAUAAAGCCAUUUAUGCCAAUGAGUUGAUUUCAAGCCUUGUAUAGGUAGGUUCCACUGCCUGGUCUUGAUGUGAGAUCGGAAUCUUGCUCACUGUAGUGAGUGAGGCUAUCAGUGUUUGGCUCUGUGCUUCAGAGGUCAGUGACUGCAUUUACAUGUGGAUAGGCAUCAUGCUGAUUAAAUCAAACUGCUGUACUGAGGAGGACAUUAACUAAAUGCCUCCCGAUGUCCUGAUGGUGUAUAAGCUAUUCUGAAUCAUAAAAUCAAUAGAGGAUUUGUCCUAAGUCAUUCCAGCACAUAUUCUACAUAAAUGAAAGUGCUUUUCAUUCAGAGAAGUGAAGGAAAUGCAAAAAAGAAAUAUCUUGGUAUUUAAACUGCUUUCUUUUUCAUGAUCUGAGAAACAAAGAAUUAGAAUUAAUACAGGAGUGACUGUUCUUUCCUUCUGUGUCAUAUUAUGUUUCCUAGUUUUAUUUCUCAAGUCCCAAAAAGCAAUGCUUUCUGAGCAGCAGCAGUGCAGGUCUGUCUUGAUAACGUGCUUCAGGCAUGACCCCUGUCUAGAAGUAAUCGGAUUAUAUGUUCUGCUUGUUUCCUUCACUGAAGCCAGGGACAGAUGCAGGGCAGAUGUGAAUGAAUAACAGAAACAUAGAAUCAUAGAACCAUUUAGGUUGGGAAAGACCUUCAAGCUCACCAAGACCAACCAUCCAUCAGACCUACUGAGAAAUCAUCACCGUAUCCCUUAGUGCUGUGUCCUCUUGUCUCUUAAAUACCUCCAGGAAUGGAGACUCCACCACUGCCCUGGGCAGCCCCUUACAAUGCCUGACCACCCUCUCCAUGAAGAAAUUCUUCCUGAAGUCCAGUUUGAACCUAUCCUGGUAUAACUUGAGGUCAUUCCUCAUAUCCUAUCCCUUGUCAUCUGAGAGGAAAGACCUUCAGUGCAACCUCCCUUCAGGAAGUUGUAGAGCAACGAGGUGUCCCCUCAGCCUCCUCUUCUCCAGACUGAACAGCCCAAGUUCCCUAAGCCACUCCUUGUGGCUCUUGUUUUCUGGUUCCUUCACCAGCUUCACUGCCCUUCUCUACACAUACUUGAGAAACUCCAUGUCCUCUUCGUAGUGAGGGGCCCAAAUCUGAACACAACACUCAAGCUGCAGUCUCACCAGUCUACGUAUAUGGGGACAGUCACUUUUCUAGUCCUGCUGGACACACUUUACUUGUUGUAGGCCAGGAUGCCAUCAGCCUGGUGGAAACGCAGCACUUCCUUCACAAUCCUGUGAAGGCACACACCUGUCUGCCAACUCAUAGGCCUCAGGAGGAUGCUACAAUGGAGAAAGAAAAUCAAGGGAACACAUACUCGUGGCUCUGCUUCAUGUUGUGCAUAUUCUCACAGCUUGCAGAAGGGUUUGAGAUACCAGAAAAUAGAGAAGGUGGUGUUCUGGAAACAAGUGAGUUGCCAGCUCUACGGCACAGAAAUGGGAGAGGGGCUCCAGUAAGGCUGAAAUUCCCUUGGUAAUCAACUGGUAAAUCAAUAUCAGUUUAAGGCCAGGAGAGAAUAUGGCAACAAACUUAUGUGACUACAGAUCAGAAGAUGCCUACUGUGUUGGAAAUUGUGUGAUAUGAACGUCUGCACUGGCAAUGGGCUGCAGGCCAGCAAAGUCAGUUCCCGUGGAUCACAAAAUCUUGGGAAUCUUUGUUGUUUAUUUUUACCUGAAAGCAGGAGCAAAGAGUGGCAGAGGAUCUGUAACUCAUUAUAGAUGAAUCCAUCUACCCAGUUUUUCUUUGUACCACUUUUUCUGUGUUUUUCUGGUAAUCAAUUCAGUCCUCCCUUGUCUUUUCAUACAGUGUCCCUUUUCAUUGGAAAGCCAGACAUAUUGGCAGUGCUUGCUACUGUAGGAAUAAAGAAGGAAUAAAUGAUCCAAAGGAAAGGAUUAUAGUCUCUGAGAUUGCCCUGGGAUACACACAAGUUGAACACUAACCCUGCAUGUGUCGGUGUUCAUUCUUAACAUUCUCCAAGAGCCUGUUCACUGUUAAAGACUUCAGGCAUUGCAACAGCAGCUGAGACCUGGGAAGAGCUACAAAAGCAAUGCUGAUGAGCACUUCGUGCACCUGUGGUUUUCAGCCCUUGCAAUCCAAAAGAACAGCGAAAGAUAAAGAGCAAAAAUGAUUAUCAGAUGCAUCGAACUGAUUCACAUUACAUAACCCAGUUGGAGGAAAUGGGAAAAAAUAAGUGGUUUUAUGCAACAUUUUGUUGACCUGAAAGAUCAGAUGCCUGAAAGAACAUUUAACUAAGAACAGCUGUAAAGAAAACAGAGCAAUGUAGGCAGGUAAAACCACAAAUCAAAGACUUUGCAGAUCCUUAUUUCAUCGCACUCAGUUAAGUUUUCAGAUGCAGAUUCUGUUCCUAUUGAAUCUAUGGCAAAAUGCCUGCUGACUUCAAACAGAAUAGGUUUUGUCCCUGUAAGCUAAGAGUAUGGCCAGCAAUACCAAUGCAGUGUAAAAAUAAACUGUGUAGGUGAGAAGUAAGGAGUUGGUACUGCAAUGUUAGUGCCUGCCGGAUCUUGAUUCUAUUAUUUUCCAAUUAAGAAAACCAUUUCAAACUUGGAGCAUUGUGCCACUCAUAUUUUAAGGUCUGAAUAUUUCAAAUCCUGAUGGUUGUAGUGCUCAAUGCUAAUAAACUUUAUUUAGUAAGUAUUACUUAAAAAUGAUUAAAUAAAGUGGAAAUAUCAGGAAAAAAAAAAUCAUAACACAUCUUUCUUGUACUGCGUUUUGUCCAGAAAAGGGUUUUAAGCUUUGGUGUUGCUAUUCAUUUACCUUCUCCUCUGUUGCACUGCAUUGUUUACAGCAAUUUAUGCAAAUCUAUAUUCUUAAACCUUAUUCUGAAACUGGAUGUGACUGUUUGGCAUCUCUUAGCAUUAUGGUAAGAAUCCAAGUGUGAGUGUGUGUAGUGAUAUGAAAGUGAAUCGACAGAAAACAAACCACAAAACUUUUUGCACAGUUUACCAGUUUUGCAUUAAAACAAGUACAGUUGCCAGCAAUGUAUCUGUAGUAUUUUGAAAUUAGUUAAAAAUAGGACUGCUGUAUUCUUUAAUUAGCAUAGCUGAAAGUUAGCCAAAUCGGCUUCGGAUGCAGCAGGAGACGUACAGUUUGUCCUGAUUUCAUGGGGAAAGGAAAAAUGUAAUACUUGGCAGAUGAACUAACUAUGCUAACCCCAAAUGUUAUUAGAACAUAGUUGACUAAAUCAAAUAUGUUGGUUUACCAAAGAUUAGUCCACAUAUUUUAACAGAACAGAGGAGCACAGUUUCAAAGCUGUGGGCUACUGAAAGAAGCAAGAUCAAGAGAAAGUGGUUAUUUUCAUAAUAUGAAAAUCUGGAGGAAAAUGACUUAUAUAUUGAGAUCAGUAAGCAACUUUUGCCAAAUCCUGGCCUUCUUACUGACACAGACUAACAUCAGCUGCUGUGAAUAGCUCUGUUGCUGUGGGAAUCCCAUCUACUAUUGCAGAAUGCAAUCACGAAGUAUUUCAACUCGAAUGAACAAUUUCAAAUGUUUAGACUUUAAAAACCACCGCUUUUAAUUUCUGUGUACCCAGUUGCAUCAGAUGGGUUUCCAUGAGGUUAGAUGUAUAAUAUUAACACAGGAUAAACUAUUUAUUAAACAGGAACAAAUAUCAACUGAGUAAACACUUAUUCGUGCUUAUAAUGUCUAGCCUAGAUGUAGUCCCUGCCUUUGCAUGAUGGAACUGCAGUGUCUUACUAAACAACUGCUUUCUUGUGCAAAUUGAAGGGCAAAAUUCCGAGGGAUGCAAAGCUUUUGCAACUUGUGUAAUUCUCAAACUGACAUCUAAAAAUGGAGAUACACCCAAGAGUCAUGAAAAAUUUAUGAAGGAUUCUCCUGCGUCCAAUAAGAGCAUCCUUGAAAAUAAAUAAGUCCAGUAAGAAAAUCCAGGCUUCAAAGCAGUCCUGGUAUAAAAAGGUAAAAUUGAUUAUCCCUGAAGCGUUAGGGUCUGAAUACAGAGAAAUUCACCUUUAGAAGGGAGCACUGUUACCCUCCCUGUGGUUCACAGCUUUAACUUGCAAUUUGAAUUCCUGUCAUAAAGGUUAUGCAAGAAAUUAGUGCAUGUGGCAGAUACUCUCGUCAUUCACUUCUCUAUACACAGCUCAACUCAGUUUGGAAGGAACGUGAGCCUCUAUAGCAGAGGUCAGUGCUCAGACAGCCAGCUUAGGAGUUUACUGAUCUUUUCUGCCUUUGAAAAUGCUUACUACUUUUUCUU
Non-coding RNA from Meleagris gallopavo (turkey), 8163 nucleotides. The record is from RefSeq and is a predicted model, not a curated record. Lineage: Eukaryota; Metazoa; Chordata; Aves; Galliformes; Phasianidae.